AUGAACGCUGGCGGCGUGGAUUAGGCAUGCAAGUCGAACGCCAAAGCGGGGGCAACUCCGCGAGUAGCGUGGCGAAAGGGUGAGUAAUGCUUGGAUGACCUGCCUUCGAGACGGGGACAACAGUUCGAAAGGACUGCUAAUACCCGAUGGUCCGUUCCGGUUGAAUCCGGACCGGUAAACGGUUGAUUCCGCUCGAUGAGGGGUCCAAGUCCUAUCAGCUUGUUGGUGAGGUAACGGCUCACCAAGGCUUUGACGGGUAGGCGGACUGAGAGGUCGACCGCCCACAUCGGGACUGAGACACUGCCCGGACUCCUACGGGAGGCUGCAGUCGAGAAUCUUCUGCAAUGGGCGCAAGCCUGACAGAGCGACGCCGCGUGGAGGACGAAGGCCCUCGGGUUGUAAACUCCUGUUACACGUUAUGAAAUGUACGGGUCCACCCGUGCACUGACAAAGGCGUGGGAGAAAGUCACGGCUAACUUCGU
This 482-nucleotide ribosomal RNA is filed under the name uncultured bacterium. RNAcentral's name for it is "bacterial SSU rRNA". It matches the Rfam family "Bacterial small subunit ribosomal RNA", at positions 29 to 506 of the family's 1533-position model. The record is from RNAcentral.